Molecule: transfer RNA, 74 nt
Filed under: Camelus bactrianus (Bactrian camel)
Lineage: Eukaryota; Metazoa; Chordata; Mammalia; Artiodactyla; Camelidae
Also listed under: 2 other names
Rfam family: tRNA
About the family: Transfer RNA (tRNA) molecules are approximately 80 nucleotides in length. Their secondary structure includes four short double-helical elements and three loops (D, anti-codon, and T loops).
Source: Rfam by way of RNAcentral
GAUGGUACAGCUCAGUGGUAGAGCGUGUGUGCUUAGCACGCACAAGGUCCUGGGUCCAAUCCCCUGUACCACCA